RNAcentral lists this ribosomal RNA (319 nucleotides) under uncultured bacterium. Its description in RNAcentral is "bacterial SSU rRNA". It matches the Rfam family "Bacterial small subunit ribosomal RNA", at positions 579 to 896 of the family's 1533-position model. The record is from RNAcentral.
CCUGGCAAGUCUGAUGUGAAAUCCCGGAGCUCAAUUCCGGAACUGCAUUGGAAACUGCUGGGCUAGAGUAUCGGAGAGGAGAUUGGAAUUCCAGGUGUAGCGAUAAAAUGCGUAGAUAUCUGGAAGAACAUCGAAAGCGAAGGCAGAUCUCUGGACGAUUACUGACCCUCAGGGACGAAAGCAUGGGGAGCAAACAGGAUUAGAUACCCUGGUAGUCCAUGCCCUAAACGGUGUGAACUUGAUGUGGAAGGAUUUACUCCCUUCCGUGUCGAAGCUAACGCGUUAAGUUCACCGCCUGGGAACUACGGCCGCAAGGCUA